Molecule: unclassified non-coding RNA, 200 nt
Filed under: soil metagenome
Description: partial internal transcribed spacer 1
Source: RNAcentral
CCGAGUUUACAACUCCCAAACCCAAUGUGAACGUUACCAAACUGUUGCCUCGGCGGGAUCUCUGCCCCGGGUGCGUCGCAGCCCCGGACCAAGGCGCCCGCCGGAGGACCAACCAAAACUCUUAUUGUAUACCCCCCCGCGGGUUUUUUUACUAUCUGAGCCAUCUCGGCGCCCCUCGUGGGCGUUUUCGAAAAUAAUCA